UGGGGAAUAUUGCACAAUGGGCGCAAGCCUGAUGCAGCCAUGCCGCGUGUAUGAAGAAGGCCUUCGGGUUGUAAAGUACUUUCAGCGGGGAGGAAGGGAGUAAAGUUAAUACCUUUGCUCAUUGACGUUACCCGCAGAAGAAGCACCGGCUAACUCCGUGCCAGCAGCCGCGGUAAUACGGAGGGUGCAAGCGUUAAUCGGAAUUACUGGGCGUAAAGCGCACGCAGGCGGUUUGUUAAGUCAGAUGUGAAAUCCUCGGGCUCAACCUGGGAACUGCAUCUGAUACUGGCAAGCUUGAGUCUCGGAGAGGGGGGUAGAAUUCCAGGUGUAGCGGUGAAAUGCGUAGAGAUCUGGAGGAAUACCGGUGGCGAAGGCGGCCCCCUGGACAAAGACUGACGCUCAGGUGCGAAAGCGUGGGGAGCAAACAGG
This 429-nucleotide ribosomal RNA is filed under the name Chloroflexota bacterium. RNAcentral's name for it is "Chloroflexi bacterium partial 16S ribosomal RNA". It matches the Rfam family "Bacterial small subunit ribosomal RNA", at positions 355 to 776 of the family's 1533-position model. Lineage: Bacteria; Bacillati; Chloroflexota. The record is from RNAcentral.